GACGAACGCUGGCGGCGUGCUUAACACAUGCAAGUCGAACGGAAAGGCCCUGCCUUUGUGGUGUGCUCGAGUGGCGAACGGGUGAGUAACACGUGAGUAACCUGCCCUUGACUGUGGGAUAACUUCAGGAAACUGGGGCUAAUACCGGAUAGGAGCUCAUGCUGCAUGGUGGGGGUUGGAAAGUUUCGGUGGUUGGGGAUGGACUCGCGGCUUCUCAGCUUGUUGGUGGGGUAGUGGCGUACCAAGGCUAUGACGGGUAGCCGGCCUGGGAGGGUGACCGGCCACAGAGGGACUGGGGUGCGGGCCGUAGUGCUACGUGGGGCAUCAGUGGGGGACAGUGCGAAAUGGGCGGCGGCCGUAUGGAGGAUCGCCGCGUGGUGGAUGACGGUUGUCGGGGUGGAAACCGUGUUCGCCUGGGACGAAGCGUGAGUGACGGUAAUUUGUAAAGAAGCACCGGCUAACUACGUG
This 468-nucleotide ribosomal RNA is filed under the name uncultured bacterium. RNAcentral describes it as "partial 16S ribosomal RNA". It matches the Rfam family "Bacterial small subunit ribosomal RNA", at positions 28 to 507 of the family's 1533-position model. The record is from RNAcentral.